This 467-nucleotide ribosomal RNA is filed under the name uncultured bacterium. RNAcentral's name for it is "partial 16S ribosomal RNA". It matches the Rfam family "Bacterial small subunit ribosomal RNA", at positions 28 to 507 of the family's 1533-position model. The record is from RNAcentral.
GAUGAACGCUGGCGGCGCGCCUAACACAUGCAAGUCGAACGAUUAAAGCACCUUCGGGUGUGUAUAAAGUGGCGAACGGCUGAGUAACACGUGGGCAACCUGCCCCUUUCAUUGGGAUAGCCACGGGAAACCGUGGAUAAUACCGAAUACUUCGAGACUUCCGCAUGGAAGACUCGAGAAAGCUCCGGCGGAGAGGGAUGGGCCCGCGGCCUGUUAGCUUGUUGGUGGGGUAACGGCCUACCAAGGCAAUGAUGGGUAGCUGGGUUGAGAGACCGACCAGCCAGCUUGGGACUGAGACACGGCCCAGACUCCUACGGGAGGCAGCAGUGGGGAAUCUUGCACAAUGGGCGAAAGCCUGAUGCAGCGACGCCGCGUGCGGGAUGAAGGCCUUCGGGUUGUAAACCGCUUUCAGCAGGGACGAGGCGAAAGUGACGGUACCUGCAGAAGAAGCCCCGGCUAACUACGUG